UACGUAGGGGGCAAGCGUUGUCCGGAUUUAUUGGGCGUAAAGAGCGUGUAGGCGGCCAGGUAGGUCAGCUGUGAAAACUCGAGGCUUAACCCCGAGCCUGCAGUGGAUACGGGCAGACUAGAGGUAGGUAGGGGAGAAUGGAAUUCCCGGUGUAGCGGUGAAAUGCGCAGAUAUCGGGAGGAACACCGGUGGCGAAGGCGGUUCUCUGGGCCUUACCUGACGCUGAGGAGCGAAAGCGUGGGGAGCGAACAGG
This 253-nucleotide ribosomal RNA is filed under the name uncultured bacterium. RNAcentral describes it as "partial 16S ribosomal RNA". It matches the Rfam family "Bacterial small subunit ribosomal RNA", at positions 524 to 776 of the family's 1533-position model. The record is from RNAcentral.